AAAGAGAGUUUUCAACUACAGAUUGUCAAGAGCUCGGCGAACAAUAGAAAACACCUUUGGUAUAAUGGUAUCCAAGUGGCGAAUACUUAAAACAACCAUUAUAGCAGAACCAGAAAAUGUGUCCAAAAUUGUCAAGGCUACUUGCAUUUUGCACAAUUUCCUCCGAACACGCCAUGUUUCCUACAGUCCAGCUGGUUUCACAGAUACUGUGGAUCCAUCUGGAAAUGUUCAUGAAGGGUCUUGGAGGCAAGAAACAACCCAUGUGCUUGAACCAUUAGCUCACAACAAACAAAGAAACUACAGUAGUGAAGCAUCCAAAAUUAGAGAAAAGUUUGCCAUGUAUUUUAAUUCAGAAGUUGGUCAACUUUCAUGGCAGCAAGAAUAUGUGAAAAGAACUCAUUGAUAUAAUUUUAUUUUACUUUUUUGUUGUAAUAUAGAUAAAGCACUAUUAUUUUUCAUUAUAUUCAAUGUCAAAAAGAA
Long non-coding RNA from Xenia sp. Carnegie-2017, 480 nucleotides. RefSeq lists it as uncharacterized. Lineage: Eukaryota; Metazoa; Cnidaria; Anthozoa; Malacalcyonacea; Xeniidae. The record is from RefSeq and is a predicted model, not a curated record. The transcript is spliced from 2 exons.